CCCGCCCCGCGCCGCCUCUCUGGUUUGUGCGCCCGUCGCAGGUCGCAGGCCUCUUUGUCAGCUGGAGUUGCGCGGGCUGACGCGCCACUAUGUAGCGGGUUUCGGGCGGGCCACGCGUGCGGGACAGGAACCCAACCCCAGCCGACCUUGAGCUCCAGGAGUUCGUCUCUUACGUCUGCGGAAGUGCAGCUGCCUCAGUUCUUAGCGCAGGUUGACAACUACAGGCACAAGCCAUUGAAGCUGGAAUGUCCUGUUGCUGGUAAAGAAAUGGAUUAGUGAUAACUCAAGUUUCAUCACCUCUCUACAAGUUUCACGCUGUUUAAGUCAUGAACCUACAAAAGCCUGUGAAAAAAUCUUUGAAGAUGCUCAGCUUGUUUCAGUCUGAAAUUUCUCCAAGACCAAUGAACAAAACAGGAUCAUGCCCUGAAUACACACCCAAGCUGCAGGCUCCUGCUUAGCCCUAUUUUGGUUUGGCCUCCAUGAGAUCUUCAGCCACAAUAGCAGGAGAUAAAAAUCUUCCUAGAAGCUUUCAUCAGCUGCAAGUUUUCUUACAGAAUGAAACUUUUCUGCUAUUUUUCUCAUAGUUAAUUGGCUAUUUGAGAAAACCGAAUUUCUGGCUCUCAGCAUUUAAUUGGAUUCUGUGGGUGACUGGAUGACCGCUUUGCACAUCACCAUGGGUAUCAUCCUUACCUUCUUUAAACCUUUUGUGCCAGUCAAAAAUUCUUGCUCUUGAUAUGUCAUCACCGGAAACUACUUUUUUUUUUUGUUUCUCUUUUGUGACAGGGUCUUCCUCUGUCACCCAGGCUGGAUGGAGUAUAGUGGAACAAUCAUAGUUCACUGCGGCCUUGGUACCCUAGGCUCAAGCGAUCCUCCCACCUCAGCCUCCUGAGUAGGUGGGACCACAGGUGUGUACCACCAGACCUGGCUAAUUUUGUUAUUGUUGUUUUUUAUAGAGGUGGGGGGGUCUCCCUAUGUUGCCCAGGCCUGUCUUGAACUCACGGGCUCAAGUGAUCCUCCUGCCUCAGCCUCCCAAAGUUCUGGGAUUACAGGGGUGAGCCACUGGACCCAGCCAGAAACUACUUUUAACAGUUCUAAUUGCCACUUGUCUUGGCUGUAUAUUCAGAAAUAG
This 1129-nucleotide long non-coding RNA is filed under the name Homo sapiens (human). RNAcentral's name for it is "ANCR". The record is from RNAcentral. Lineage: Eukaryota; Metazoa; Chordata; Mammalia; Primates; Hominidae.